RNAcentral lists this ribosomal RNA (305 nucleotides) under uncultured bacterium. Its description in RNAcentral is "bacterial SSU rRNA". It matches the Rfam family "Bacterial small subunit ribosomal RNA", at positions 338 to 641 of the family's 1533-position model. The record is from RNAcentral.
CCUACGGGAGGCAGCAGUGAGGAAUAUUGGUCAAUGGGCGCGAGCCUGAACCAGCCAAGUAGCGUGAAGGAUGACUGCCCUACGGGUUGUAAACUCCUUUUAUAAAGGAAUAAAGUGAGGCACGUGUGCCUUUUUGUAUGUACUUUAUGAAUAAGGAUCGGCUAACUCCGUGCCAGCAGCCGCGGUAAUACGGAGGAUCCGAGCGUUAUCCGGAUUUAUUGGGUUUAAAGGGUGCGUAGGCGGGAUGCCAAGUCAGCGGUAAAAAUGCGGUGCUCAACGCCGUCGAGCCGUUGAACCUGGCGUUU